This 271-nucleotide ribosomal RNA is filed under the name uncultured bacterium. RNAcentral describes it as "partial 16S ribosomal RNA". It matches the Rfam family "Bacterial small subunit ribosomal RNA", at positions 1232 to 1500 of the family's 1533-position model. The record is from RNAcentral.
GGCCGGUACAACGGGGUGCGACACGGUGACGUGGGGCGGAUCCCUGAAAACCGGUCUCAGUUCGGAUCGCAGUCUGCAACUCGACUGCGUGAAGGUGGAGUCGCUAGUAAUCGCGGAUCAGCAACGCCGCGGUGAAUGCGUUCCCGGGCCUUGUACACACCGCCCGUCAAGUCAUGAAAGUGGGCAGCACCCGAAGACGGUGGCCUAACCCUUGUGGGGGGAGCCGUCUAAGGUGAGGCUCGUGAUUGGGACUAAGUCGUAACAAGGUAUC